Molecule: ribosomal RNA, 1502 nt
Filed under: Salmonella enterica subsp. enterica
Lineage: Bacteria; Pseudomonadati; Pseudomonadota; Gammaproteobacteria; Enterobacterales; Enterobacteriaceae
Description: bacterial LSU rRNA
Rfam family: Bacterial large subunit ribosomal RNA
Source: RNAcentral
GGGUUGUGAGGUUAAGCGACUAAGCGUACACGGUGGAUGCCCUGGCAGUCAGAGGCGAUGAAGGGCGUGCUAAUCUGCGAUAAGCGCCGGUAAGGUGAUAUGAACCGUUAUAACCGGCGAUACCCGAAUGGGGAAACCCAGUGUGACUCGUCACACUAUCAUUAACUGAAUCCAUAGGUUAAUGAGGCGAACCGGGGGAACUGAAACAUCUAAGUACCCCGAGGAAAAGAAAUCAACCGAGAUUCCCCCAGUAGCGGCGAGCGAACGGGGAGGAGCCCAGAGCCUGAAUCAGCAUGUGUGUUAGUGGAAGCGUCUGGAAAGGCGCGCGAUACAGGGUGACAGCCCCGUACACAAAAGCGCAUGUGCUGUGAGCUCGAUGAGUAGGGCGGGACACGUGGUAUCCUGUCUGAAUAUGGGGGGACCAUCCUCCAAGGCUAAAUACUCCUGACUGACCGAUAGUGAACCAGUACCGUGAGGGAAAGGCGAAAAGAACCCCGGCGAGGGGAGUGAAAAAGAACCUGAAACCGUGUACGUACAAGCAGUGGGAGCCCCACCACUAAGCCAGUGGUGAACUCCACAUACGCAUCCUUUGCUGAGGAUACGGUUAACGGAGCGAAAGCGACGUUCAACCUCAAAAGAAGCAGAGGGGGCUUAGUGGUGGGGUGACUGCGUACCUUUUGUAUAAUGGGUCAGCGACUUAUAUUCUGUAGCAAGGUUAACCGAAUAGGGGAGCCGGAGGGAAACCGAGUCUUAAUUGGGCGUUAAGUUGCAGGGUAUAGACCCGAAACCCGGUGAUCUAGCCAUGGGCAGGUUGAAGGUUGGGUAACACUAACUGGAGGACCGAACCGACUAAUGUUGAAAAAUUAGCGGAUGACCUGUGGCUGGGGGUGAAAGGCCAAUCAAACCGGGAGAUAGCUGGUUCUCCCCGAAAGCUAUUUAGGUAGCGCCUCGUGAAUUCAUCUCCGGGGGUAGAGCACUGUUUCGGCUAGGGGGCCAUCCCGGCUUACCAACCCGAUGCAAACUGCGAAUACCGGAGAAUGUUAUCACGGGAGACACACGGCGGGUGCUAACGUCCGUCGUGAAGAGGGAAACAACCCAGACCGCCAGCUAAGGUCCCAAAGUCAUGGUUAAGUGGGAAACGAUGUGGGAAGGCCCAGACAGCCAGGAUGUUGGCUUAGAAGCAGCCAUCAUUUAAAGAAAGCGUAAUAGCUCACUGGUCGAGUCGGCCUGCGCGGAAGAUGUAACGGGGCUAAACCAUGCACCGAAGCUGCGGCAGCGAACGUAUCACCCAAGACAACUUUACGGAGUUGACGAUUGACGGAGCGAAGCGACGUCAAAGCGUUCAUUAAAGUCGAGUUGGCUUAGGGAUACGUUCGUUGGGUAGGGGAGCGUUCUGUAAGCCUGUGAAGGUGGCCUGUGAGGGUUGCUGGAGGUAUCAGAAGUGCGAAUGCUGACAUAAGUAACGAUAAAGCGGGUGAAAAGCCCGCUCGCCGGAAGACCAA